Molecule: ribosomal RNA, 791 nt
Filed under: uncultured bacterium
Lineage: Bacteria
Description: bacterial SSU rRNA
Rfam family: Bacterial small subunit ribosomal RNA
Source: RNAcentral
AGAGUUUGAUCCUGGCUCAGAUUGAACGCUGGCGGCAUGCCUUACACAUGCAAGUCGAACGGCAGCGCGGGAGCAAUCCUGGCGGCGAGUGGCGAACGGGUGAGUAAUACAUCGGAACGCGUCCUGGAGUGGGGGAUAGCUCGGCGAAAGCCGGAUUAAUACCGCAUACGCUCUAUGGAGGAAAGCGGGGGAUCGCAAGACCUCGCGCUCAAGGAGCGGCCGAUGGCGGAUUAGCUAGUUGGUAGGGUAAAGGCCUACCAAGGCGACGAUCCGUAGCUGGUCUGAGAGGACGACCAGCCACACUGGGACUGAGACACGGCCCAGACUCCUACGGGAGGCAGCAGUGGGGAAUUUUGGACAAUGGGGGAAACCCUGAUCCAGCAAUGCCGCGUGUGUGAAGAAGGCCUUCGGGUUGUAAAGCACUUUUGUCCGGAAAGAAAUCCUAUGGGCUAAUACCCCGUGGGGAUGACGGUACCGGAAGAAUAAGCACCGGCUAACUACGUGCCAGCAGCCGCGGUAAUACGUAGGGUGCGAGCGUUAAUCGGAAUUACUGGGCGUAAAGCGUGCGCAGGCGGUUUGCUAAGACCGAUGUGAAAUCCCCGGGCUUAACCUGGGAACUGCAUUGGUGACUGGCAGGCUAGAGUAUGGCAGAGGGGGGUAGAAUUCCACGUAGCAGUGAAAUGCGUAGAGAUGUGGAGGAAUACCGAUGGCGAAGGCAGCCCCCUGGGCCAAUACUGACGCUCAUGCACGAAAGCGUGGGGAGCAAACAGGAUUAGAUACCCUAGUAGUCC